UACGUAGGGUGCAAGCGUUGUCCGGAAUUAUUGGGCGUAAAGAGCUCGUAGGCGGUUUGUCGCGUCUGCUGUGAAAACGCGAGGCUCAACCUCGCGCCUGCAGUGGGUACGGGCAGACUAGAGUGCGGUAGGGGAGAUUGGAAUUCCUGGUGUAGCGGUGGAAUGCGCAGAUAUCAGGAGAAACACCGAUGGCGAAGGCAGAUCUCUGGGCCGUAACUGACGCUGAGGAGCGAAAGCGUGGGGAGCGAACAGG
RNAcentral lists this ribosomal RNA (253 nucleotides) under uncultured bacterium. RNAcentral's name for it is "partial 16S ribosomal RNA". It matches the Rfam family "Bacterial small subunit ribosomal RNA", at positions 524 to 776 of the family's 1533-position model. The record is from RNAcentral.